Molecule: ribosomal RNA, 914 nt
Filed under: Jonquetella anthropi DSM 22815
Lineage: Bacteria; Thermotogati; Synergistota; Synergistia; Synergistales; Dethiosulfovibrionaceae
Description: partial 16S ribosomal RNA
Rfam family: Bacterial small subunit ribosomal RNA
Source: RNAcentral
CUGGCUCAGGAUAAACGCUGGCGGCGUGCUUAACACAUGCAAGUUGGACGGGAAUACUCGAGGAAGAGACUUCGGUUAAUUUUUUGGGUAUGAGAGUAGCGGACGGGUGAGUAAUACAUAAGAAUCUAUCCAUCAGAGGGGGACAACUGCGGGAAACCGGAGCUAAUACCCCGUAAGCCGGAAGGUGAAAGGGAGCAAUCCGCUGAUGGAGGAGCUUGUGUCCUAUCAGGUAGUUGGUGAGGUAAGAGCUCACCAAGCCGAAGACGGGUAGCCGGGCUGAGAGGUUGUACGGCCACAUUGGAACUGAGAGACGGUCCAGACUCCUACGGGAGGCAGCAGUGGGGAAUAUUGGGCAAUGGGCGAAAGCCUGACCCAGCGACGCCGCGUGAGGGAAGACGGCCUUCGGGUUGUAAACCUCUGUUGCAGGGGAAGAAGGAAGUGACGGUACCCUGCGAGGAAGCUCCGGCAAACUACGUGCCAGCAGCCGCGGUAAUACGUAGGGAGCGAGCGUUAUCCGGAAUUACUGGGCGUAAAGGGCGCGUAGGCGGAAUGACAAGUCAGCAAGUGAAAGCGUGGGGCUCAACCCCAUGAUGCGGCUGAAACUGUUAUUCUAGAGGCAUGGAGAGGCAAACGGAAUUCCCGGUGUAGCGGUGAAAUGCGUAGAUAUCGGGAAGAACACCAGUGGCGAAGGCGGUUUGCUGGCCAUGAACUGACGCUCAUAGCGCGAAAGCUAGGGUAGCAAACGGGAUUAGAUACCCCGGUAGUCCUAGCAGUAAACGAUGUAUGCUGGGUGUGGGUGUAGCGAUACAUCCGUGCCGAAGUUAACGCGAUAAGCAUACCGCCUGGGGAGUACGGUCGCAAGAUUGAAACUCAAAGGAAUUGACGGGGGCCCGCACAAGCGGUGGAGCACGUGG